This 492-nucleotide ribosomal RNA is filed under the name uncultured bacterium. RNAcentral describes it as "partial 16S ribosomal RNA". It matches the Rfam family "Bacterial small subunit ribosomal RNA", at positions 29 to 507 of the family's 1533-position model. The record is from RNAcentral.
AGUGAACGCUGGCGGUAGGCCUAACACAUGCAAGUCGAACGGCAGCACAGUAAGAGCUUGCUCUUACGGGUGGCGGGUGGCGGACGGGUGAGGAAUACAUCGGAAUCUACUUUUUCGUGGGGGAUAACGUAGGGAAACUUACGCUAAUACCGCAUACGACCUACGGGUGAAAGCAGGGGAUCUUCGGACCUUGCGCGAUUGGAUGAGCCGAUGUCGGAUUAGCUAGUUGGCGGGGUAAAGGCCUACCAAGGCGACGAUCCGUAGCUGGUCUGAGAGGAUGAUCAGCCACACUAGAACUGAGACACGGUCCAGACUCCUACGGGAGGCAGCAGUGGGGAAUGUUGGACAAUGGGCGCAAGCCUGAUCCAGCCAUACCGCGUGGGUGAAGAAGGCCUUCGGGUUGUAAAGCCCUUUUGUUGGGAAAGAAAAGCAGCAGGUUAAUACCCCGCUGUUCUGACGGUACCCAAAGAAUAAGCACCGGCUAACUUCGUG